This 302-nucleotide long non-coding RNA is filed under the name Elaeis guineensis (African oil palm). RNAcentral describes it as "long non-coding RNA (EGUI_LNC020667)". The record is from RNAcentral. Lineage: Eukaryota; Viridiplantae; Streptophyta; Magnoliopsida; Arecales; Arecaceae.
UCUCCUAGAGUCGGGAUGGUGAUGCUCUCAGGUUCAAGUCUGAAUAAAGCUCUACAAAAAUAUCUCUAUCAUCUCCAUACCCUAUACAGUAGGCUUCAUCAUUGCCUUCGAGGACUUCUUUUUUAAGAUCUUUAGACUCUUUGCAGUCCUCGAUGGCCUGACCAAGAGCCUCCUUCAUGGUCUUCGCCACUUCCUUCAUGGUCGCCGACUUGGCAUCGGCCAGUACCAACCUUGCUUCGAUCGCCCGAUGCCUUUUCCACUCAUUCUCCAGUUCGCAAAAAUAGUGAUCAUGUUCCCCCCAA